CUCCAGCUUUCAGCUGGCGAAUUGUAGUCUAGAGAGGCGAUCUCUGUGGCCGCCCCUGCCCAAAUUCCCUGGAACGGGAUGUCAGAGAGGGUGAGAGCCCCGUCGGCAGGGCGCCGGUCGCUCCACGAGGCGCUUUCGCAGAGUCGGGUUGUUUGGGAAUGCAGCCCUAAUUUGGUGGUAAGUCCCAUCUAAGACUAAAUACUGGCGAGAGACCGAUAGCGUACAAGUACCGUGAGGGAAAGAUGAAAAGAACUUUGAAAAGAGAGUUAAACAGUGCUUGAAAUUGUUGAGGGGGAAGCCAUUGGCGGCUGCGGGUGCACCCAGGCUCAAAGCGCCCCACCGGGCGCCUGAAAGCGCUGGGAGCUGGUCAGCAUGGGCCGGCCCUGCGGGAGAAACCUCUCUGUGUCGAGAGUCUAUGUCGCGGGGGCGGCCGAGGAACGAAGGGCGCUCUGCCUCCGAGCUGCGCCCUCAAGAUGCUGGCGGAAGGCUGCCAAUGGGCCCGUCUUGAAACACGGACCAAGGAGUCUAACAUGUAUGCGAGUUGGUGGGUGGAAAACCCAUGAGCGCAAGUAACCUGACUGGUGGGAUGGCCUGUGCCUGCACCAUCGACCGACCAUGAUCUUCUGUGAAAGGUUCGAGUACGAGCAUACCUGUUGGGACCCGAAAGAUGGUGAACUAUGCCUGAGCAGGGCGAAGCCAGAGGAAACUCUGGUGGAGGCUCGUAGA
Molecule: ribosomal RNA, 726 nt
Filed under: Hazenia mirabilis
Lineage: Eukaryota; Viridiplantae; Chlorophyta; Ulvophyceae; Ulotrichales; Hazeniaceae
Description: partial large subunit ribosomal RNA
Rfam family: Eukaryotic large subunit ribosomal RNA
Source: RNAcentral